Molecule: long non-coding RNA, 2139 nt
Filed under: Olea europaea subsp. europaea
Lineage: Eukaryota; Viridiplantae; Streptophyta; Magnoliopsida; Lamiales; Oleaceae
Source: RNAcentral
GAUAGGAAUAUCUUGUUGCAUAGAACCAAUAAUGGCUUCUAUGUUUGAUACAUUGCUCAAUAUAUUCUUAUUCUAUUCAUCUACGUAAGAUCUCAUUGAACUUAAACUGUUAUUCAUAUAAGAUUGCAUGUUGCCUAAAAUAUUAUUUUCUUAUCAUUUUUGCUGCUGUCGAAAUUCCUGUUGGAAUACUUAUUUGUGGCUGUCAAGAAUAGCAUCUAUAUAAGAAUGAAUACUAGAUUGCAUAUAAUCUUCUUGCCAUUUUUGAUGUUGUUCAAACUACUUGUUUUGACUGUGAAAUAUUUCUUCCUUCAGGUUAUGGCAUACACCAGACACAUUUGAUAUUACAUGUUGCCUAUGUAUUCCCAGCAUUUCUUCCAUUUGUUCUCGAGUUAUAUAGUUAGAAGCAUCAAAAGCAGAAGCAGAACCAACUCUAGGAGAAGUUCUCGAACUACUGGGAAUAGUCGUUUCUUGCACAAAGAUGUUUUCUGGGAUUUGUUGUACUGUGUUGUCUAAUUUCCCAUUGACAAUACCAUCUAAGAUACUAUGUUGAUUAUCCGCUGACAUUGAAAGAGUUGUAUAUCAUGACAAUUCUAACUAUUCUUCGACGGGAUAUAACACUGCAAGUACAUCAAUCUGUAAUCAUGAUAACUAAAUUUAGUUUUUAAAAUGAUGAAAUGAAAAUGAAAUUUUGCAUUCGUAAAAAAAGUAUGUUAUACCUCAGUGGCCAAAAAAGGUUUUACCAUUUUCUCAGUUAAUAUUGAAUUAGGUCUCCACUUAUAUAUUCGAGGACUUUGUGCUGUUUUAUAUCUCCUGCGUCCAAAUUUUUUUCCAAUCUCUGGAAAGACUUUAUAUAUCCAGAACUGCAAGUAAUUAUAAUCUUUUGUUAUACAAAUAAGUUAUACAUAAUAUAUAUAACAAUAAAAGAACAGAAAAAAUUUACCUGGAAUGCAAGUAGAUAUCCUCUUAAUGUAUAUUUGCAAUCUGUUUGAUUUUGUUAUGCUCUUUGCACUAUUUCAGCUUAUGAUUCUUGCAAAGAAUUUAACAAGACAAAAUAUGUUUUUUGACCCCAUGGAUAAGCAAUAAAGUCAUCGAGAUGCUCGACCAUACCAAGAGUCUUAUAAUCAAUAAUUCUGCCAGUUGGUUUCAAAACACAUUCCACAAACAUAACCAAUCCCAGCUUAAAUUUAUCUAUGUAGUCUUCGCAUGAAUGGAACGCUUGAUGCAAUAUUCUCAUAUUAACUCUUCUUGUUCCAUUGAAAUAUUGAUUUAUAAGACGAUAGUUAUUAUGAUUAAUCUCCACAGAUGGUUCAUAGCAUGGUAAUCCAAUGAUGAUACAAUAUUUUUGCAUGCUAAACCUAGCAAUACGAUAACCUAACCGUACUCACACUUCGUUAUUUUUACCACAAUGUACAAGUCUCAUUACGAAUUCAUGUAUCAACCUACUACUAAAUUGUUCAUCUUCUUCCGUAUAAAUAACUCUCGCAAAAAAUCCAUAGAAAUCGCUACACAUAGCAGAAGCCUGUGGAUUUACAUCUAUAAAUUCAAUAAAAUCUUGGAGAUAUUUCCGAUUUGUAUAUUGACAGAUAGUGGCAGAGAACCAUUGAUUUGGAGAGACAAUAUAUUCUAGAGACGUCUACAUAAUAAACGAAAUAGACAAAUUUGUAUUUAUAAGAAUUCCAUAAAUUCUAACUCUAUAUCUAUAUCUCACAAUGGCAACAAUACAGGUGCUAUUAUUUAUGUUUUAGAUGAUUAUGACAAAAGAAUACUAAAAUUCAAAGACUUUAUACAUACUAUGAAUAACUAAGGCUAUAAUUUUUUCUUCAUCUUAUCUUUCUUUUUUUUUGUUUGUUGGAGAUUUUAUUUUAAAAGCAGUUAUAGUUUUUACUUGUCUUUGCAUUAUUAGUUCUGCAGUAAACAUUUUAGUAUAAAAUCGAAAUUAUUUUUAAGAAAAUAUGAAUAUAUUGUAUACAUACAUAGAUUAAGGAAGCAAGAUGGGUCUCUUUGUUCAUACAGAGGUUGUCUAUUCAUGCACUAUCGGUGCCCAACAAUAUUUUCUUGUUCAUUUCAACAAUAAAUCUUACCUUUUAUCCAGCUAAAUGUUUGCACCUUGGCGCUUCUCUCUACUUUGAAGACUCUUGC